This 142-nucleotide ribosomal RNA is filed under the name Klebsiella pneumoniae. Its description in RNAcentral is "partial 23S ribosomal RNA". It matches the Rfam family "Bacterial large subunit ribosomal RNA", at positions 2801 to 2925 of the family's 2925-position model. The record is from RNAcentral. Lineage: Bacteria; Pseudomonadati; Pseudomonadota; Gammaproteobacteria; Enterobacterales; Enterobacteriaceae.
GAGAUGAGUUCUCCCUGAGACUAUAAGUCUCCUGAAGGAACGUUAAAGACGAUGACGUUGAUAGGCCGGGUGUGUAAGCGCAGCGAUGCGUUGAGCUAACCGGUACUAAUGAACCGUGAGGCUUAACCUUACAACGCCGAAG